Molecule: ribosomal RNA, 407 nt
Filed under: uncultured bacterium
Lineage: Bacteria
Description: partial 16S ribosomal RNA
Rfam family: Bacterial small subunit ribosomal RNA
Source: RNAcentral
AUUGAACGCUGGCGGCAGGCCUAACACAUGCAAGUCGAGCGGAGCGGCGGACGGGUGAGUAAUGCCUAGGAAUCUGCCUGGUAGUGGGGGAUAACGACCGGAAACGGGCGCUAAUACCGCAUACUAUCAGAUAAUCCUAGGUCGGAUUAGCUAGGUGGUGGGGUAAAGGCCUACCAAGGCGACGAUCCGUAACUGGUCUGAGAGGAUGAUCAGGCAAACUGGAACUGAGACACGGGCCAGAAUCCUACGGGAGGCAGCAGUGGGGAAUAUUUGACAAUGGGCGAAAGCUGGAUCCAGCCAUGCCGCGUGUAUGAAGAAGGUCUUCGGAUUGUAAAUCACUUUAAGUUGGGAGGCGUUACCCACAGAAUAAGCACCGGCUAACUUCGUGCCAGACGCCGCGGUAAUUC